GACGAACGCUGGCGGCGUGCUUAACACAUGCAAGUCGAGCGGUAAGGCCCUUCGGGGUACACGAGCGGCGAACGGGUGAGUAACACGUGGGUGACCUGCCUCUAGCUCUGGGAUAAGCCUGGGAAACCGGGUCUAAUACCGGAUAUGACUCCAUGACGCAUGUUGUGGGGUGGAAAGCCUUGUGCGGCUGGGGAUGGGCCCGCGGCCUAUCAGCUUGUUGGUGGGGUGAUGGCCUACCAAGGCGA
This 245-nucleotide ribosomal RNA is filed under the name uncultured Actinomycetes bacterium. RNAcentral describes it as "uncultured actinobacterium partial 16S ribosomal RNA". It matches the Rfam family "Bacterial small subunit ribosomal RNA", at positions 28 to 276 of the family's 1533-position model. The record is from RNAcentral. Lineage: Bacteria; Bacillati; Actinomycetota; Actinomycetes.